RNAcentral lists this ribosomal RNA (498 nucleotides) under uncultured bacterium. RNAcentral describes it as "partial 16S ribosomal RNA". It matches the Rfam family "Bacterial small subunit ribosomal RNA", at positions 28 to 523 of the family's 1533-position model. The record is from RNAcentral.
GAUGAACGCUAGCGGCAGGCCUAAUACAUGCAAGUCGAGGGAGAAUGUUGGAUUCGUCUGACAUGAAACCGGCGCACGGGUGCGUAACACGUAUGCAACCUACCUUUAACUGGGGUAUAGCUCAGAGAAAUCUGAAUUAAUCCCCCAUAAGACUACGACAUGGCAUGAAGAUGUAGUUAAAGCCCCGGCGGCUAAGGAUGGGCAUGCGGUACAUUAGCUAGUUGGUGAGGUAAUGGCUCACCAAGGCUACGGUGUAUAGGGGGUCUGAAAGGAUGAUCCCCCACACUGGUACUGAGACACGGACCAGACUCCUACGGGAGGCAGCAGUAGGGAAUAUUGGUCAAUGGACGCAAGUCUGAACCAGCCAUGCCGCGUGAAGGAUGAAGGCCCUAUGGGUCGUAAACUUCUUUUAUUAGGGAAGAAAAAACGGGAAGCGUCCUGUACUGACGGUACUUAAUGAAUAAGGAUCGGCUAACUUCGUGCCAGCCGCCGCUGUAA